AAGUUAUUUAGCUUACUAUAAAAGCAAGUAAUUUGAAAUUACUAGAAAGAUUAAUAAUUUAAUAACUUA
This 69-nucleotide transfer RNA is filed under the name Busonia albilateralis. RNAcentral describes it as "tRNA-Ser". The record is from RNAcentral. Lineage: Eukaryota; Metazoa; Arthropoda; Insecta; Hemiptera; Cicadellidae.